GACGAACGCUGGCGGCGUGCUUAACACAUGCAAGUCGAACGGAAAGGCCCUGCUUUUGUGGGGUGCUCGAGUGGCGAACGGGUGAGUAACACGUGAGUAACCUGCCCUUGACUUUGGGAUAACUUCAGGAAACUGGGGCUAAUACCGGAUAGGAGCUCCUGCUGCAUGGUGGGGGUUGGAAAGUUUCGGCGGUUGGGGAUGGACUCGCGGCUUAUCAGCUUGUUGGUGGGGUAGUGGCUUACCAAGGCUUUGACGGGUAGCCGGCCUGAGAGGGUGACCGGCCACAUUGGGACUGAGAUACGGCCCAGACUCCUACGGGAGGCAGCAGUGGGGAAUAUUGCACAAUGGGCGGAAGCCUGAUGCAGCAACGCCGCGUGCGGGAUGACGGCCUUCGGGUUGUAAACCGCUUUCGCCUGUGACGAAGCGUGAGUGACGGUAAUGGGUAAAGAAGCACCGGCUAACUACGUGCCAGCAGCCGCGGUGAUACGUAGGGUGCGAGCGUUGUCCGGAUUUAUUGGGCGUAAAGGGCUCGUAGGUGGUUGAUCGCGUCGGAAGUGUAAUCUUGGGGCUUAACCCUGAGCGUGCUUUCGAUACGGGUUGACUUGAGGAAGGUAGGGGAGAAUGGAAUUCCUGGUGGAGCGGUGGAAUGCGCAGAUAUCAGGAGGAACACCAGUGGCGAAAGGCGGUUCUCUGGGCCUUUCCUGACGUUGAGGAGCGAAAGCGUGGGGAGCGAACAGGCUUAGAUACCCUGGUAGUCCACGCUGUAAACGGUGGGUACUAGGUGUGGGGUCCAUUCCACGGGUUCCGUGCCGUAGCUAACGCUUUAAGUACCCCGCCUGGGGAGUACGGCCGCAAGGCUAAAACUCAAAGGAAUUGACGGGGCCCCGCACAAGCGGCGGAGCAUGCGGAUUAAUUCGAUGCAACGCGUAGAACCUUACCUGGGUUUGACAUGGAUCGGGAGUGCUCAGAGAUGGGUGUGCCUCUUUUGGGGUCGGUUCACAGGUGGUGCAUGCCUGUCGUCAGCUCGUGUCGUGAGAUGUUGGGUUAAGUCCCGCAACGAGCGCAACCCUUGUUCACUGUUGCCAGCACGUUAUGGUGGGGACUCAGUGGAGACCGCCGGGGUCAACUCGGAGGAAGGUGGGGAUGACGUCAAGUCAUCAUGCCCCUUAUGUCCAGGGCUUCACGCAUGCUACAAUGGCUGGUACAGAGAGUGGCGAGCCUGUGAGGGUGAGCGAAUCUCGGAAAGCCGGUCUCAGUUCGGAUUGGGGUCUGCAACUCGACCUCAUGAAGUCGGAGUCGUUAGUAAUCGCAGAUCAGCAACGCUGCGGUGAAUACGUUCCCGGGGCU
Molecule: ribosomal RNA, 1347 nt
Filed under: uncultured bacterium
Lineage: Bacteria
Description: partial 16S ribosomal RNA
Rfam family: Bacterial small subunit ribosomal RNA
Source: RNAcentral